CACCGCGGUUAUACGAGAGGCUCAAGUUGAUAAACACCGGCGUAAAAUGUGGUUAACAUAUUGCUACACUAAAGCUAAACAUCUUCAAAGCUGUUAUACCCACACGAAGACAGGAAAACCUUCUACGAAAGUGGCUUUAAAUUAGUGCUAAUCCACGAAAACUAGGAAA
This 169-nucleotide ribosomal RNA is filed under the name Luciogobius sp. 'mizuhiki-naga-mimizu-haze'. RNAcentral's name for it is "partial 12S rRNA". Lineage: Eukaryota; Metazoa; Chordata; Actinopteri; Gobiiformes; Gobiidae. The record is from RNAcentral.